AGAGUUUGAUCCUGGCUCAGGAUGAACGCUGGCGGCGUGCCUAACACAUGCAAGUCGAGCGAGGACUUCGGUCCUAGCGGCGGACGGGUGAGUAACGCGUGGGUAAUCUGCCUCAUACACACGGAUAACGUACCGAAAGGUACGCUAAUACGAGCUAAACGUACCGAAAGGUACGCUAAUACGAGAUAAUAUUAAGAAAUGGCAUCAUUUCUUAAUCAAAGAAUUUCGGUAUGAGAUGAGCCCGCGUCCCAUUAGCUAGUUGGUAAGGUAAAAGCUUACCAAGGCGACGAUGGGUAGCCGACCUGAGAGGGUGAUCGGCCACACUGGAACUGAGACACGGUCCAGACUCCUACGGGAGGCAGCAGUGGGGAAUAUUGCACAAUGGGCGAAAGCCUGAUGCAGCAACGCCGCGUGAGCGAUGAAGGUCUUCGGAUCGUAAAGCUCUGUCCUCAAGGAAGAACAAGACGGUACCAUAGGAGGAAGCCCCGGCUAACUACGUGCCAGCAGCCGCGGUAAUACGUAGAGGGCAAGCGUUAUCCGGAAUCACUGGGCGUAAAGGGUGCGUAGGUGGCUGUACAAGUCAGAGGUGAAAGGCUACGGCUCAACCGUAGUAAGCCUUUGAAACUGUAGGACUUGAGUGCAGGAGAGGAGAGUGGAAUUCCCAGUGUAGCGGUGAAAUGCGUAGAUAUUGGGAGGAACACCAGUGGCGAAGGCGGCUUUCUGGACUGUAACUGACACUGAGGCAUGAAAGCGUGGGGAGCAAACAGGAUUAGAUACCCUGGUAGUCCACGCCGUAAACUAUGGGUACUAGGUGUAGGGGGUAUCGACUCCCCCUGUGCCGUCGUUAACACAAUAAGUACCCCGCCUGGGGAGUACGGUCGCAAGACUAAAACUCAAAGGAAUUGACGGGGGCCCGCACAAGCAGCGGAGCAUGUGGUUUAAUUCGAAGCAACGCGAAGAACCUUACCUAGACUUGACAUCUCCUGAAUUACCCUUAACCGGGGAAGCCCUUCGGGGCAGGAAGACAGGUGGUGCAUGGUUGUCGUCAGCUCGUGUCGUGAGAUGUUGGGUUAAGUCCCGCAACGAGCGCAACCCUUAUUUUUAGUUGCUACCAUUAGGUUGAGCACUCUAAAGAGACUGCCCGGGUUAACCGGGAGGAAGGUGGGGAUGACGUCAAAUCAUCAUGCCCCUUAUGUCUAGGGCUACACACGUGCUACAAUGGUGAGGACAAAGAGACGCAAGACCGCGAGGUGGAGCAAAUCUCACAAACCUCAUCCCAGUUCGGAUUGCAGGCUGAAACUCGCCUGCAUGAAGCCGGAGUUGCUAGUAAUCGCGAAUCAGCAUGUCGCGGUGAAUACGUUCCCGGGCCUUGUACACACCGCCCGUCACACCAUGAGAGUUGGCAAUACCCGAAGUCCGUGGGGUAACCGUAAGGAGCCAGCGGCCGAAGGUAGGGUCAGCGAUUGGGGUGAAGUCGUAACAAGGUAACC
Molecule: ribosomal RNA, 1490 nt
Filed under: uncultured bacterium
Lineage: Bacteria
Description: bacterial SSU rRNA
Rfam family: Bacterial small subunit ribosomal RNA
Source: RNAcentral